UACGUAGGUGGCGAGCGUUGUCCGGAUUUACUGGGCGUAAAGGGCGCGUAGGUGGUUGCGUAAGUGAGAUGUGAAAGCCCCGGGCUCAACCUGGGAACUGCAUCUUAUACUGCGUAGCUGGAGUGAAGUAGAGGGUAGUGGAAUUUCCGGUGUAGCGGUGAAAUGCGUAGAUAUCGGAAGGAACACCAGUGGCGAAGGCGGCUACCUGGACUUACACUGACACUGAGGCGCGAAAGCGUGGGUAGCAAACAGG
This 253-nucleotide ribosomal RNA is filed under the name uncultured bacterium. RNAcentral's name for it is "partial 16S ribosomal RNA". It matches the Rfam family "Bacterial small subunit ribosomal RNA", at positions 524 to 776 of the family's 1533-position model. The record is from RNAcentral.